GAUAGAAGAAGAAAACCGACAAAGCAUUAAAAGAAACAUAAAUGAUCCCAACAACCUAGGUAAGUUGUUCAAUUCCAAAGCAUCUGAAAAGCUAAACCUUUCAGCAGCCUGUCAGAGUAUUAUCCCAUCAAUCCUAUCAAUCUACUUCAAUGAUAUACUGGAAGGUGUUCUUUCAAAAACCAUUGCGCCUCUUCAGAAUAUUGGCACUCUUUCAUCUAAAAAGACCCAAAAAUUCCUUUUCCAACUAUUUCCUUCCCCUCUUCCAGAACAGGGAACCGAUAUCAGAUGUGGCUUGUACGAUGUGGUUAUCACCGAUCUAUUUCAACAGCAUCGAGUGCAUAAGCAGAAACAUCACCCACAAGAUAAGUUGCUUCAUUUUUUUUAAGACCCUCUGUAGCCAAAACAUAAGUAGAACCGUUUAUAUGUUUUUGUACAUGAUGGAAAACACAGUUUUGGAAAAUCACACAUGACGCACAGAUAUUAUGAAUAUAUGCUCCAAUUACUGACCGUUCCCCUUUAUUUUCUUUCAGAUUACAAAUCACAGACAAGCAAUCUCUUUCGACUUCUAUAUUUAGAAAACCCAUUUUAGCUCCUAUCAAAACUGCCUGGAAGUAAGCCAUCACCUCUGCUGUAAAAUGGUGAAGGAUUUAUUAUCUUGCUUGCAAAAUCUUGCAUCAAAAUUUAUUUUGACAAAAGGGUUCUGAGGCGCAUUCCAUACACCAACGAUCGCAUUUUGCCCUUCAUGUAGCAAUUUUUUGUGUGCAAUCCAGAUUGCCCACAACCUACAGUAAAACAAUCGACAAGACACUUUUGAAAAACAUGUUCAACUAUUUCCACACUAUUGUGGCAGCGGAGACAGAUCGCAGAGUUCAUCAACCCCCUAUAAUAUAGGUUUUCAUAAGUAGGCACAAAGUUGUUCAUAAUCCUCCAUGUUGUAAUUUAUAUUUUGGAGGGUAGAUCAAUAUUCCAUAGCCUUUUGUAUCAGUUGGAGUAGGGGUAGAAAUUUUCAUUAGUAGAAAUUCCAUAAUGGUUAUGUAUCAACCAUUUCUAAGCACUUCGGACCGUAUAUUCCCCUGUAGCUUUACCACUCCAAGUGCGAGCAUCCUUCUGUGGAACAAGGGGUAAAGGAAUGGCUAGAAUCCACCGAGCAUCAUCAACAGCAAAGGUAGAAUUGAUUAAAUACUCCUUCCAAUUAUUUUUUUACUGGUCUAUCAAAUCUGCCACACUUUGAAUAGAAUCAUCUUGUAUAGGAUUUUGAAUUCGUUGAUUUUGAUUUCCAAGUAUCAAUGCAUCUACCCCAACCGAGACCUCCGUACCCGAACCAAUUCUCCAGUACAUUCCAGCCUCCAAAAUGCCCUUGGUGACUCAUAUGCUUCUCCAGGUAUAGGAAGAAGUGUUAUUGUAGUCACUAACACUGGAAAGUGCAGUGACAGUUUGAGCCAACAAGCAUUACAACGGAAGUUAAGUGAGGGUUAGAGAAAUUUAGUCCACUUGUUCUUAAUAGUGCCAUACUGCCAUCAUCGAAAGGUGAGGUUAAUAUGCAUAGUUAAGUUUGAGAUUAAAUAGAGGAGUAACGCUGAGUAAGAUAUACAUUGAAUUUUAUUGCAUCGACAAUCACCUAUACUUUUAUACCUUGUGAACACUUAGUAUUCUGCUGAAGAUUUAUGUUGGGGAUCCUAGUUUAUCAUUAUCAUAUUUUAUUUUAUUGUUCUCAA
Long non-coding RNA from Gossypium arboreum, 1715 nucleotides. RefSeq lists it as uncharacterized. The transcript is spliced from 5 exons. The record is from RefSeq and is a predicted model, not a curated record. Lineage: Eukaryota; Viridiplantae; Streptophyta; Magnoliopsida; Malvales; Malvaceae.